This 253-nucleotide ribosomal RNA is filed under the name uncultured bacterium. RNAcentral describes it as "partial 16S ribosomal RNA". It matches the Rfam family "Bacterial small subunit ribosomal RNA", at positions 524 to 776 of the family's 1533-position model. The record is from RNAcentral.
UACGUAGGGUGCAAGCGUUAAUCGGAAUUACUGGGCGUAAAGCGUGCGCAGGCGGUGAUGUAAGACAGGUGUGAAAUCCCCGGGCUUAACCUGGGAACUGCAUUUGUGACUGCAUCGCUGGAGUGCGGCAGAGGGGGAUGGAAUUCCGCGUGUAGCAGUGAAAUGCGUAGAGAUGCGGAGGAACACCGAUGGCGAAGGCAGCCCCCUGGGCUGACACUGACGCUCAGGCACGAAAGCGUGGGGAGCAAACAGG